GAUGAACGCUAGCGGUGUGCUUAAAGCAUGCAAGUCGAACGUGAUCUCUUGGAUUCGUCUGAGGGUGAAAGUGGCGAACGGGUGAGUAAUGCGUUGGUGAUCUGCCCCGGAGUGGGGAAUAACUAUUGGAAACGAUAGCUAAUACCCCAGAUGUCCUCGUGUUUGGAAAGCGAUGACUAAAGUUCAGGCGCUCCGGGAGGAGCCGACGUCCCAUCAGCUAGUUGGUAGGGUAAUGGCCUACCAAGGCAUAGACGGGUAGGGGGCGUGAGAGCGUGACCCCCC
RNAcentral lists this ribosomal RNA (282 nucleotides) under uncultured Chloroflexota bacterium. RNAcentral's name for it is "uncultured Chloroflexi bacterium partial 16S ribosomal RNA". It matches the Rfam family "Bacterial small subunit ribosomal RNA", at positions 28 to 309 of the family's 1533-position model. The record is from RNAcentral. Lineage: Bacteria; Bacillati; Chloroflexota.